GACGAACGCUGGCGGCGUGCUUAACACAUGCAAGUCGAGCGGUAAGGCCCUUUCGGGGGUACACGAGCGGCGAACGGGUGAGUAACACGUGGGUGACCUGCCCUCAGCUCUGGGAUAAGCCUGGGAAACUGGGUCUAAUACUGGAUAUGACUCCACGGUGCAUGUCGUGGGGUGGAAAGCCUUGUGCGGCUGAGGAUGGGCCCGCGGCCUAUCAGCUUGUUGGUGGGGUGANGGCCUACCAAGGCGACGACGGGUAGCCGGCCUGAGAGGGCGACCGGCCACACUGGGACUGAGACACGGCCCAGACUCCUACGGGAGGCAGCAGUGGGGAAUAUUGGGCAAUGGGCGCAAGCCUGACCCAGCGACGCCGCGUGGGUGAUGAAGGCCU
This 388-nucleotide ribosomal RNA is filed under the name uncultured bacterium. RNAcentral's name for it is "bacterial SSU rRNA". It matches the Rfam family "Bacterial small subunit ribosomal RNA", at positions 28 to 417 of the family's 1533-position model. The record is from RNAcentral.